RNAcentral lists this ribosomal RNA (410 nucleotides) under uncultured bacterium. Its description in RNAcentral is "partial 16S ribosomal RNA". It matches the Rfam family "Bacterial small subunit ribosomal RNA", at positions 355 to 755 of the family's 1533-position model. The record is from RNAcentral.
UGGGGAAUUUUGGACAAUGGGCGAAAGCCUGAUCCAGCAAUGCCGCGUGUGUGAAGAAGGCCUUCGGGUUGUAAAGCACUUUUGUCCGGAAAGAAAUCCUUGGCUCUAAUACAGUCGGGGGAUGACGGUACCGGAAGAAUAAGCACCGGCUAACUACGUGCCAGCAGCCGCGGUAAUACGUAGGGUGCAAGCGUUAAUCGGAAUUACUGGGCGUAAACGCGUGCGCAGGCGGUUUGCUAAGACCGAUGUGAAAUCCCCGGGCUCAACCUGGGAACUGCAUUGGUGACUGGCAGGCUAGAGUAUGGCAGAGGGGGGUAGAAUUCCACGUGUAGCAGUGAAAUGCGUAGAGAUGUGGAGGAAUACCGAUGGCGAAGGCAGCCCCCUGGGCCAAGUACUGACGCUCAUGCACG